CUACGGGUCGCUGCAGUGGGGAAUAUUGGACAAUGGGGGAAACCCUGAUCCAGCAAUGCCGCGUGUGUGAAGAAGGCCUGCGGGUCGUAAAGCACUUUCGGUUGGGAGGACUGCUUCUAGCACUAAUAUUGUUGGAAGUUGACGUUACCUUCAGAAGAAGCACCGGCUAACUCCGUGCCAGCAGCCGCGGUAAUACGGAGGGUGCAAGCGUUAAUCGGAAUUACUGGGCGUAAAGCGCGCGUAGGCGGCUAGAUCAGUCGGGUGUGAAAGCCCCGGGCUUAACCUGGGAACUGCAUCCGAUACUGUCUAGCUUGAGUACAGGAGAGGAGAGUGGAAUUCCACAUGUAGCGGUGAAAUGCGUAGAUAUGUGGAGGAACACCAAUGGCGAAGGCAGCUCUCUGGCCUGAUACUGACGCUGAGGUGCGAAAGCGUGGGGAGCAAACGGGAUUAGAUACCCCUGUAGUC
Molecule: ribosomal RNA, 465 nt
Filed under: uncultured bacterium
Lineage: Bacteria
Description: partial 16S ribosomal RNA
Rfam family: Bacterial small subunit ribosomal RNA
Source: RNAcentral